Molecule: long non-coding RNA, 854 nt
Filed under: Pongo abelii (Sumatran orangutan)
Lineage: Eukaryota; Metazoa; Chordata; Mammalia; Primates; Hominidae
Description: lincRNA
Source: RNAcentral
GACUACUUAAACAAACAAAACCAGAUCACUACCUGUAACAGCACCAAACAAACAAAACCAAGAACUAGGAAAAUGAAGAAAAAAUAUCUGACUGAGUGAAAAUUAUUACCUGAAGCAAUACAGAAGGAGUACUUAAUGUUCAAAUAAAGUCAUUGACCAAAGUAUGGGACAGAAUAUAUAAAUGCAUAUUUUUAAAGCAAAUAUUUCAUCUCCUAAAGACAGGAUAAGACAUGGAAUGAGAAGGAGAAAGAAAUUAAUCCCACCAUCCAACAGUGAAAGAAAAAACACAGAACAUGAGGAGGACCAGAAAGCAAUGUGAAAAAGAUUUGAAAGGAGUCACUGCUGAGCUAUUUUAGAUUCUACACCCUCUAUCCAGCCAUGAACCUAUCAGCGAUCAUACCUAACUAUUGCAUACCCCAUUAGAAAACCUAAUGUGAAUGUAGGAAGCCUAUUCAUCUAAAGGACAUGGAACCAAGUAGAUGUAACUGAUACUUCACUAUUGACCUAUAGCCUGUUAAGAUCUACCAUGAGUCAUAUACAUUUGACACUGUUGUUUUCAUUUCAUAAUACAUAUCUUCACUAAUUCUGUCUGUUUAUCACUUUGUCAAAGGGCUAAAACUAUAGUAAUGAGUACAUUCUUAAUGAGCUUUUCUUUAACUACCACAAUUUGUAUUUAAAUUUUGUCUCAUCUUAUGUUCUAAAAUUGUCACAGCAAAGUGAUCAAGGAAGCUAGAGAUUUUACUAUAUUUUCUUCUCAGUAAGAUUGCUGUAUCUCUUCUAUAUAAAGUAAAUAAAUCCUUGAUGCAAGAAUGAAGUAAUGGUUCAGUAAACAAAUUAAAUAUGAUACGACUUUA